AUGCUGGCGGCGUGCCUAACACAUGCAAGUCGAGCGGCAGCGAGUUUUACACUGAAUUCUGGAAGCUUCUGGGUAAUAUAGAAGAUCUAUUCAAGAAUUUUGUGUAAAAUGUCGGCGAGCGGCGGACGGCUGAGUAACGCGUAGGAAUUUGCCCCAAAGUGAGGAAUAACUGCCCGAAAGGGUAGCUAAUGCCGCAUAUGGUCUUCGGAUUAAAGCCUUCGGGCGCUUUGGGAGAAGCCUGCGUUGGAUUAGGUAGUUGGUAGGGUAAUGGCCUACCAAGCCGACGAUCCAUAGCUGGUCUGAGAGGAUGAUCAGCCAGACUGGAACUGAGACACGGUCCAGACUCCUACGGGAGGCAGCAGUGAGGAAUCUUCCACAAUGGGCGAAAGCCUGAUGGAGCAACGCCGCGUGAAGGAUGAAGGCCUUCGGGUUGUAAACUUCUUUUAUGAGUGAAGAAUAUGACGGUAACUCAUGAAUAAGCACCGGCUAACUACGUGCCAGCAGCCGCGGUCAUACGUAGGGUGCAAGCAUUAUCCGGAGUGACUGGGCGUAAAGAGUUGCGUAGGCGGUUUAAUAAGUGAAUAGUGAAACCUGGUGGCUCAACCAUACAGACUAUUAUUCAAACUGUUAAACUCGAGAAUGGUAGAGGUAACUGGAAUUUCUAGUGUAGGAGUGAAAUCCGUAGAUAUUAGAAGGAACACCGAUGGCGUAGGCAGGUUACUGGGCCAUUUCUGUCGCUAAGGCACGAAAGCGUGGGGAGCGAACCCGAUUAGAUACCCGGGUAGUCCACGCCGUAAACGAUGGAUACUAGCUGUUGGAGGUAUCGACCCCUUCAGUAGCGAAGCUAACGCGUUAAGUAUCCCGCCUGUGGAGUACGGCCGCAAGGCUAAAACAUAAAGGAAUUGACGGG
RNAcentral lists this ribosomal RNA (910 nucleotides) under uncultured bacterium. RNAcentral's name for it is "bacterial SSU rRNA". It matches the Rfam family "Bacterial small subunit ribosomal RNA", at positions 33 to 917 of the family's 1533-position model. The record is from RNAcentral.